UGUUAAAGUAACUGUCUGAUUGGC
Molecule: non-coding RNA, 24 nt
Filed under: Mus musculus (house mouse)
Lineage: Eukaryota; Metazoa; Chordata; Mammalia; Rodentia; Muridae
Source: RNAcentral